Molecule: ribosomal RNA, 581 nt
Filed under: uncultured Flexibacter sp.
Lineage: Bacteria; Pseudomonadati; Bacteroidota; Cytophagia; Cytophagales; Flexibacteraceae
Description: bacterial SSU rRNA
Rfam family: Bacterial small subunit ribosomal RNA
Source: RNAcentral
GAGUUUGAUCCUGGCUCAGGAUGAACGCUAGCGGCAGGCCUAACACAUGCAAGUCGAGGGGUAACAUGAGUACUUGUACUUGAUGACGACCGGCGCACGGGUGCGUAACGCGUAUGCAACCUACCCAUUACAGGAGGAUAGCCCGGGGAAACUCGGAUUAAUACUCCAUAGUACGAUUUGAUGGCAUCUGAAGAUCGUUAAAGAUUUAUUGGUAAUGGAUGGGCAUGCGUCUGAUUAGCUGGUUGGUGAGGUAAUGGCUCACCAAGGCUACGAUCAGUAGCGGGUCUGAGAGGAUGAUCCGCCACACUGGAACUGAGACACGGUCCAGACUCCUACGGGAGGCAGCAGUGAGGAAUAUUGGUCAAUGGGGGAGACCCUGAACCAGCCAUGCCGCGUGCAGGAUGACGGCCUUCUGGGUUGUAAACUGCUUUUAUACAGGAACAAAGAUCUCAUGCGUGAGAAGUUGAGUGUACUGUAUGAAUAAGCACCGGCUAACUCCGUGCCAGCAGCCGCGGUAAUACGGAGGGUGCAAGCGUUGUCCGGAUUUAUUGGGUUUAAAGGGUGCGUAGCGGUAUGUUAAG